GACCGCGUAGCUCAGUUGGAAGAGCAUUGGGCUAGUAUUCCAAAGGUCGUAGGUUCGAAUGCCGCCGUGGCCA
Non-coding RNA from Paramuricea clavata, 73 nucleotides. The record is from the annotation of a GenBank genome assembly. NCBI's taxonomy places the organism in Eukaryota, Metazoa, Cnidaria, Anthozoa, Malacalcyonacea, Plexauridae.